Molecule: transfer RNA, 82 nt
Filed under: Streptomyces virginiae
Lineage: Bacteria; Bacillati; Actinomycetota; Actinomycetes; Kitasatosporales; Streptomycetaceae
Also listed under: 1 other name
Description: tRNA-Gly
Source: RNAcentral
CCCCCGCCGCGGUGGCCCCCGCCGCCGCCGCUGCCGGCGGCGCCGGUUCACCCGCCCCGUCCGGUUCGUCCGGUGCGGCGGG